Molecule: ribosomal RNA, 621 nt
Filed under: Penicillium toxicarium
Lineage: Eukaryota; Fungi; Ascomycota; Eurotiomycetes; Eurotiales; Aspergillaceae
Description: eukaryotic LSU rRNA
Rfam family: Eukaryotic large subunit ribosomal RNA
Source: RNAcentral
GUUGACCUCGGAUCAGGUAGGGAUACCCGCUGAACUUAAGCAUAUCAAUAAGCGGAGGAAAAGAAACCAACAGGGAUUGCCCCAGUAACGGCGAGUGAAGCGGCAAGAGCUCAAAUUUGAAAGCUGGCCCCCUCGGGGUCCGCAUUGUAAUUUGCAGAGGAUGCUUCGGGAGUGGCCCCCAUCUAAGUGCUCUGGAACGGGCCGUCAUAGAGGGUGAGAAUCCCGUAUGGGAUGGGGUGUCCGCGACCAUGUGAAGCUCCUUCGACGAGUCGAGUUGUUUGGGAAUGCAGCUCUAAAUGGGUGGUAAAUUUCAUCUAAAGCUAAAUAUUGGCCGGAGACCGAUAGCGCACAAGUAGAGUGAUCGAAAGAUGAAAAGCACUUUGAAAAGAGAGUUAAAAAGCACGUGAAAUUGUUGAAAGGGAAGCGCUUGCGACCAGACUCGCCUACGGGGUUCAGCCGGUAUUCGUACCGGUGUACUUCCCCGUGGGCGGGCCAGCGUCGGUUUGGGCGGCCGGUCAAAGGCCCUCGGAAUGUAACGCCUCUCGGGGCGUCUUAUAGCCGAGGGUGCCAUGCGGCCAGCCCGGACCGAGGAACGCGCUUCGGCACGGACGCUGGCAUAAU